RNAcentral lists this ribosomal RNA (465 nucleotides) under uncultured bacterium. Its description in RNAcentral is "partial 16S ribosomal RNA". It matches the Rfam family "Bacterial small subunit ribosomal RNA", at positions 28 to 507 of the family's 1533-position model. The record is from RNAcentral.
GAUGAACGCUGGCGGCGUGCUUAACACAUGCAAGUCGAACGGAAAGGCUCCUGCUUGCAGGGGUACUCGAGUGGCGAACGGGUGAGUAACACGUGGGUGAUCUGCCCUGCACUUCGGGAUAAGCCUGGGAAACUGGGUCUAAUACCGGAUAGGACGAUGGUUUGGAUGCCAUUGUGGAAAGUUUUUCGGUGUGGGAUGAGCUCGCGGCCUAUCAGCUUGUUGGUGGGGUAAUGGCCUACCAAGGCGUCGACGGGUAGCCGGCCUGAGAGGGUGUACGGCCACAUUGGGACUGAGAUACGGCCCAGACUCCUACGGGAGGCAGCAGUGGGGAAUAUAGCACAAUGGGCGCAAGCCUGAUGCAGCGACGCCGCGUGGGGGAUGACGGCCUUCGGGUUGUAAACUCCUUUCGCUAGGGACGAAGCGCAAGUGACGGUACCUGGAGAAGAAGCACCGGCUAACUACGUG